RNAcentral lists this long non-coding RNA (3621 nucleotides) under Nicotiana tabacum (common tobacco). RNAcentral's name for it is "long non-coding RNA (NTAB_LNC003586)". Lineage: Eukaryota; Viridiplantae; Streptophyta; Magnoliopsida; Solanales; Solanaceae. The record is from RNAcentral.
AACACUCUGCAAAAAUGGAAUCCGUCAUUCCCAUGGUCGACUCCCAAAAAUUCGUCAGCUAAAUUGCCAAGAAAAGACCAAAAAGCUGACUUAGGGAUAAAAGAGGCACCUCCUUCUUCAAAUAUCACGGCAGCCAUACAUUUGAAAUUUUCUUCUCAAACAAAAAACACUUUAUUCAAUUGGGGAUUCUUCAUAUAAACACAUAGUGACAUAGCAAAAUAAACUUGGGGAUUUUGUGGUGAAGGGACGAACGGCAAAAAUGGAGGACGGACUUCGGAUUCAAGUCCUUUGAUUGUUGUUUCAAAUGUUAGUUUCUUCUUCUGAUUGUCGAUUUAAAACCCUGGAAUCUGGCGAGUUCGGAGUUUGAGUCGGGUUGAGUUCACGACGAGGUUCUGUCCGUGGUUCCGACGAGGGCCGUUGUGGAUUUUUGUCACGGUUCCGGCAGGUUUUCUGGUCUGGUUCGAGGUUUCCAUUUUUGGUGGUAAGAUUACUUCUUUCAUUUUAUUAUGGUUCUAUUACAAUGUUAUUAUAAUGUUAUGAAUGUGAGGUUCUGUUCGAAGUUCCGUUUGUGAUCGGCGGCGUUGUCAUAUUAUCGUUUUGUUCUGCUGAUUAAGUCUCUGUCUCUGAUUGAAGGCUUUUAUUUGGUCGAGUUAAACAUUAAAGGUCCACUCACGCCUCUCUAAUUUGAGAUCUAUUAAUUGCUUUAUUUGGUAUUUAAUCUGAUUUAUGGAGACCUUGGGUUGAAAUUGUGUUUAAUUUGCAAUACCGAUGUGAAAUUUAUAAUAGAACGUAUCAGAUGUACUUCACACUGAUUUCCAUGACUCAUAAAAAAAAUUGUUUUUCCUUUCCUAUAAGGCAGUAGAGGUAUUUGGAGUGCCAUCAAAAGAAACUGAUUGAAUUGGCAAAAAAAAAAUUGAUGUGGCUGAACUGGAAAAGAUAGUGCUUUAAUUAGUGUAUUUUUAUAGUAAAGAAAAGUGAGCCGAAUAAGCAUAUGAUAUACAACUCAAAAAUAUGGUUGGCAGCAUCACAUAUCGUUUUAGUCUAUGCUAUUGGGUUUAAGUUUUAUGUUCUCAAAUUGACAAAAAAAAGUUAAUCCAUGUGAUGUUAAUUUUGCGUUUUGAGUGAACCGUGAUUAAACUUGGAGUAUUCUGAUUAUUUGAUGUUACAACCCAUAUCCACAUGUGUUAGUUCAUGCCAUAUAUUAGUUAACAUAAAUCCAAGAAAGAAUUAUCUUUGAGAUGAUAAGAAGUCAAUCCUAUUGGUCUUAAGUGAUACAAGAGUGUAUAAGGGUGAUUAACAAGUAUUAGAAGUUAAAUGAAUCAAGGAUGUUGUAACUCGUAUUUUCAGGUAAAUCUAGCAGUGCUUAAUACACUCAAGAGGUCAUUUAUUAAGGUAUUUUAAUCAUAUAAUAUCCGUAUCAUAAGUAUUGAAGUCAAACGAGUUAUGAAACAAAAGUCGACAAAGGUUGUCUCAACUUAGGUUCAUAAUUUUACUUAAACAUUAGGUAAAAUGUUUCUAAUCUUUUAUCCUAAUUUACAAGUAAUUACGGGGUGAUCUACCAACCAAAUUAAAGAUAUAUGAGUCUAGUUUCCAAAUCAUUAAACCGUUCAUCGAUACGAUCUCGGAGUAGAGAGAUAUUUGUAUUUUCGCGAGACCGCGCCAAACACCUCUCUAUUGGGCCCACUAAGGCGGUUUAAGAUAUUUGGACUUAUAUAGGAUGCCUCCAACCCAUUUUAAGUCAUUUAUUCUCACUAUUUUCAGACCUUAGAACCCUAGUAACAUCUUCUCAAGGUUAUCUCAAGAUUCAAGACCCAAAAAAAGGGCAAACAACACAAAUCAAGUGUCGGGAAUUCCGUGGCACUAGUAAGUCUCUUGUUCUUCUUGUUGUUGCUCAUUUUUGUGUCGUUCCAGCUCGUGUGGGAGGUUGUUUUAAAGGGUUUAUGUUCUGUAAAUACUCCCUCAUGUUCUUUACAUCAAUCCUAAGUGAUUUCAAGCCUUCUAAAGUGAUUCUAGUGCCGAAAAACACUAAUUGAUCGCUAGUUUCGUUUUUUGUUGUUGUGGCAGCAUUGGAGGGAUAUUUCAUGGAAAUUUAAGGUAAAAUUGGAGUUGUUCUUUCUGUAUAAAGGUAAGGAACCUCUUACUCUAUAUGUAUUUAAGAUUAUCCAAGUUGCGGCUAAGCCAUUGAAGCUAGAACUUGUGAAAUAUAUAUCGAAAGGCUUGGUAGUAAUGUUGUUGUUUUGUGAACUGUUUUGCAUUACUGUUGGGAUGCGUAUUUUACUACUGUUUUGUGGAGUUUUGGAGGAUUAAGGGUGUUGAGAAACACCAUAUAUAUGUAGGUUUGUGGGAUAAUAGUUAUUCAUAACAUUUCCGGGUCGUUUGACACGACUACGGUGGUCGUCGUAUGUAUGGAGUGAUUAGGCUGUGCAUGGACUAUUUUGGGAGGCUCAAUAUGUUUAUUAUUGAUGUUGUUUAGGUUGUUUGGUGACUGUUUUGAAUGGUGUGAAGUCAUAUAUAUAGGGGAGGUGCUGUCCGUUUCAUCGUAAAAUAGGUUGUGGUCGAUACAUAAUAGUUAUGAUGCUUAAAUGAUAACGAUAGUAUCGUUUCUCUUAUUGUAGACUAAGGAGUUUUGAAAAUUGCAUAGCUUGAUAUUGGGGCAGUAUAUACAAGGUAUGUGAGGCUAUACCUUUCCUUCUUUUGCACGACUCUGAUUGUACAUAAUGUAAUGAACGAGCUUCCAAGAUACUCUACUCUUAGAAGCUAGCAGUACUUACAUUGUUUUCCCUCUUAUGGAACGAUUGAUGUUAAUGUUGCUUCUCUUAUUCUUAUGUUAUCAAUGUUGUUGGUACUUCCUGAUUCUUAUAAGGUUCAUAAUGAAGAGUUAGUCCUAAUAACGUGUACAGAGGAUACCGACCUUACGUCACUCCGAAAGGUUUAGAAUGUGAUUCCAUGAGUCGAGCAGGCAUUAUAUAUAUGUAUCUAUUUUACUCUACCGAGCCACACUAUAGUUGGCCGGGUACGGCACCUAUUGUGCAACCAUUGAUCAGUUGGGUUUUACCGAGCUCCACAUUGCCGGGUACGAUUCUACCGAGCCUUAUGAUGGCUGGGUACGUUUUUUUACUGAGCCUAUUAUGGCCAGGUACGAUAUGAUGAUGAUGAUGCCCACAGAGGCGAAUGUUUUAAAGGUUUAUGUAUUUAUACAUAUGUAUCAUGCAUUUCAUGUCAGUAGCCCUCAGAGGUACUAAGAUGUUACAGGUUGUAUAUUCUCUAUCCUUGCUUACAUUACUGAUCGUAUUCAUGGUUCCCUGCCUUACAUACUCAGUACUUUAUUCGUACUGACGUCCUUUUAUUUGUGGACGCUGCAUGUCGUGCUGCAGGUCCUGAUAGACAGGCAGGUGCAGCUCCCCCACCAUAGUAGGCUAUCCAGUUUAGCGGUGAUUGGCGAGAUCCCUUCUCCGAAUUUGCCUUGGUCUUGGUAUGCAUUGUUGUUAUAGACAUUAUGGGUAUGUCGGGGCCCUGUUCUGGCUAUGUUGCAACACUUAUGUUCAUUUAGAGGCUCAUAGACAAGUGUCGACUCAUGUAUAGUUUGGUAUGCCUUGUCGGCUGGUUUUUGUUAUAUAGUCU